GACGAACGCUGGCGGCGUGCUUAACACAUGCAAGUCGAACGGAAAGGCCCUGCUUUUGUGGGGUGCUCGAGUGGCGAACGGGUGAGUAACACGUGAGUAACCUGCCCUUGACUUUGGGAUAACUUCAGGAAACUGGGGCUAAUACCGGAUAGGAGCUCCUGCUGCAUGGUGGGGGUUGGAAAGUUUCGGCGGUUGGGGAUGGACUCGCGGCUUAUCAGCUUGUGGGUGGGGUAGUGGCUUACCAAGGCUUUGACGGGUAGCCGGCCUGAGAGGGUGACCGGCCACAUUGGGACUGAGAUACGGCCCAGACUCCUACGGGAGGCAGCAGUGGGGAAUAUUGCACAAUGGGCGGAAGCCUGAUGCAGCAACGCCGCGUGCGGGAUGACGGCCUUCGGGUUGUAAACCGCUUUCGCCUGUGACGAAGCGUGAGUGACGGUAAUGGGUAAAGAAGCACCGGCUAACUACGUG
RNAcentral lists this ribosomal RNA (468 nucleotides) under uncultured bacterium. RNAcentral describes it as "partial 16S ribosomal RNA". It matches the Rfam family "Bacterial small subunit ribosomal RNA", at positions 28 to 507 of the family's 1533-position model. The record is from RNAcentral.